Molecule: ribosomal RNA, 253 nt
Filed under: uncultured bacterium
Lineage: Bacteria
Description: partial 16S ribosomal RNA
Rfam family: Bacterial small subunit ribosomal RNA
Source: RNAcentral
UACGUAGGCAGCAAGCGUUGUUCGGAGUUACUGGGCGUAAAGAGUGUGUAGGCGGUUUGGUAAGUUUGGUGUGAAAUCUCCCGGCUUAACUGGGAGGGUGCGCCGAAUACUGCCGGACUAGAGUGUGGGAGAGGGAAGCGGAAUUCCUGGUGUAGCGGUGAAAUGCGUAGAUAUCAGGAGGAACACCUGUGGUGUAGACGGCUUCCUGGACCACCACUGACGCUGAGACACGAAAGCGUGGGUAGCAAACAGG